AAUAGGAGAGGAAAUAAAAAGCAGGCCUUGAGAGAAAGAGUAGAGAAAGUUUUUUUAUCUCUGUUUAUUUUCUUUGAACGAGAGAGAUAGAGAAAGAAAGAGAUUUUGGUUAUUUUUUGUUUUGUUUUGUUUUAUUAAAUGCAUUGCCAUGUGUUGACUUUCUAUUGGGGGCUUAAAAAGUUUUUGAAGAAAAUUUUCUUUCUCUUUCCAUUGGAAUACUCCGCCCCAUUUCUCCCUCUUUCUUAACUUAUUUUUCUUUUUUUUUUU
This 267-nucleotide long non-coding RNA is filed under the name Lathyrus oleraceus (garden pea). RNAcentral's name for it is "Pisum sativum (pea) long non-coding RNA (PSAT_LNC026692)". The record is from RNAcentral. Lineage: Eukaryota; Viridiplantae; Streptophyta; Magnoliopsida; Fabales; Fabaceae.